UGUGGCAGAGGUGUUGGGAAGCCACAUGGACAAAAUGUAGUAUAGCACAUAAAACAAACGAGUAGCAUGCUGGACUGUGCUCCUACCAUCAUCACCAUAUGUACGGCAAUCCGUUCGUGCAGGUUCCACUUUUCAACAGGGGCCACCACACAAAUUACCCCUGUGAGAAGCAAUGUGGUGUUCUCGGUGUGCUCUCCAGCCACUUGGGAUUUGUGAGGUCCAACUGUCUGAAAAACAACAUACAUUUCGGGCCACAAUGGCUGAAGGAAAUUUUCAGAGCCACGGUAAAAAAAAGGUCAUGGCAGGUUCUUCAUCAACACACAGUCAAAGAUGAGCCAUCUCAGCAGGCGGUGUCAUCCAUGUUCCCACCAGGAGAUAAGAGGCACUGCACAUAAAAUGUGGCAGAUAAUCAUCUUCUCUUGCAUUGGCUCAGAAAAUUCAGUUGCCAUUUGGAAAUUCCAGACCCAACCCCCA
Molecule: non-coding RNA, 474 nt
Organism: Pogona vitticeps (central bearded dragon)
Lineage: Eukaryota; Metazoa; Chordata; Lepidosauria; Squamata; Agamidae
Source: RefSeq, a predicted model, not a curated record